UGAGCAAUCUGCCCUUCUCAUCGGAAUAUGCGUUGGAAACGACGUCUAAUGCCGAAUACGACCUCCUUUCACAUGAUCGGAGGUGGAAAGCUCCGGCGGAGAAGGAUGAGCUCGCGGCCUAUCAGCUAGUUGGUGGGGUAAUGGCUCACCAAGGCGACGACGGGUAGCUGGUCUGAGAGGAUGGCCAGCCACAUUGGGACUGAGACAUCGGCA
This 213-nucleotide ribosomal RNA is filed under the name uncultured bacterium. Its description in RNAcentral is "partial 16S ribosomal RNA". It matches the Rfam family "Bacterial small subunit ribosomal RNA", at positions 118 to 331 of the family's 1533-position model. The record is from RNAcentral.